Molecule: ribosomal RNA, 494 nt
Filed under: uncultured bacterium
Lineage: Bacteria
Description: partial 16S ribosomal RNA
Rfam family: Bacterial small subunit ribosomal RNA
Source: RNAcentral
GACGAACGCUGGCGGCGCGCUUAACACAUGCAAGUCGAACGGAAAGGCCUGCUUUCCCUUGUGGAUUGCGGGUACUCGAGUGGCGAACGGGUGAGUAACACGUGAGUGAUCUGCCCCCAACUUGGGUAUAAGCCUGGGAAACUGGGUCUAAUUCCCGAUAGGACUGCAGGGUGGUGCCUGUGGUGGAAAACGAUUUUCUAGUGGUUGGGGAUGAGCUCGCGGCCUAUCAGCUUGUUGGUGGGGUAAUGGCCUACCAAGGCGGCGACGGGCAGCCGGCCUGAGAGGGUGGACGGCCACAUUGGGACUGAGAUACGGCCCAGACUCCUACGGGAGGCAGCAGUGGGGAAUAUUGCACAAUGGGCGGAAGCCUGAUGCAGCGACGCCGCGUGGGGGAUGACGGCCUUCGGGUUGUAAACUCCUUUCGACCGCGAGGAAGCCACCUGGUUGGAAGGGUGGUGACGGUAGUGGUAGAAGAAGCACCGGCUAACUACGUG